UACAGAGGGUGCGAGCGUUGUCCGGAAUCACUGGGCGUAAAGGGCGCGUAGGUGGCGACCCAAGUCGAUGGUGAAAGCUCGCCGCUCAACGGCGAGUCGGCCACUGAUACUGGGUUGCUGGAGCACUGUAGAGGCAGGUGGAAUUCCGGGUGUAGCGGUGGAAUGCGUAGAGAUCCGGAAGAACACCGGUGGCGAAGGCGGCCUGCUGGGCAGUGGCUGACGCUGAGGCGCGACAGCGUGGGGAGCAAACAGG
Molecule: ribosomal RNA, 253 nt
Filed under: uncultured bacterium
Lineage: Bacteria
Description: partial 16S ribosomal RNA
Rfam family: Bacterial small subunit ribosomal RNA
Source: RNAcentral